CAGAGGCAGAAGGAGAUAGCAGAGAGCCCAUUCAUUGGGCGUACCCGACUAUUUUAGCGUUGCGAUUGUGAUCCAGCCAAGCCAAAUAUAGUCGUAGACAGGUAUUUUUAGCCGUAAAGUGUGUCCCCGUUUUCAUCUGGCAAAAGCGACCUGGGCAAUAUAGGAUGUUUGAAAUGAGCCAAAAUCAGCACACUCAGUGUUAACCUGUUAUUCAGUAGGGGAUAGAGUACAGUCAGCUGAUUUAACCGUCAUACCCAGAGAGAAACAACUGUCGAGAGUAAAUAUCACUGCUCACAGCUUCUCUGUCUAUCCGGGGACAAGGACAAAGAAAAGACUGAAUGAAAAGACCGUAGACCCGGAGAUAAAUAACCUUCGGUUCGUCAAGCAGAUACAUAGCUACAACAGGGUAAAGUUCAUUCUGACUGAGUUCCACGCAAAGCUGCCAAUUUGUGCCAGACAGCGAAAACAUCUUUGUAUGAAUGUGACAGCAUGCUUGUGUUGCUGAUGGAAUCUCCUGAUUGGUGUUGCCGUUGCAGCAGGGAAAAAGCCAGUCAUGGGGUCACAACACCGAGCGGACAGCUGUCUUAGAGAGUGACGUUACAUGCAUGUCGUACUCCAGCAGCUUUACUAUACACACCGGAAACACGGUAAGCUAGGGAAGCACGCACGCACGCACGCAUGCACGUACGCACGCACGCACGCACACACACACACACACACACACACACACACACACACACACACACACUAAUCCAAUUAGGACAUUAGUAAGUUGCAGCUUGGCCAGAGCCUCCUCGGACAAAUGCUGAUCGAAUUAUAAGUGGAUGGAUAGGCCGGGGCAAUCCCAGUGUUUCCCAGCUCUAAGGUGCUUAAGUGGCAUUAUGCCACUGCAUCAGGAGGACACCUCAUACGCACAAAGGAUCCCCUUGCUAUUUUCAUGGACAUACACGCUGCCUGCCCGGUGAGUCAACAAAGACGAGGAAGAAGCCAAGAAGCGACUUCCACUCUGUCAGCAGAGUUGCAGAGAGUGAACCGGAAACCCGGAACUUAGCCAGGAGACUUUCCCCUACUGGCUCUGUCUACACAGGAAUAGUCAUGGACAUAUACACUCAUGGAAAUUAUUAACAGGAACAAAGAACAAUCAACGGAUGGAAGACCUUGGGAUGCUGCUUUCACCCACCAAACACGCACUCAUUUUCCAUGUGCUAGAAAACUAUUGAUACCAUUCGUAGUGAGUGCAUGUGUGUGUGGAUAUGUGUAUUGUCUAAGAGCCUCUUCAUCAAAUAACACACCAGAAUGAGGCACACUCCAAACAAGGCUACAAGUCCAUACAGAGGCUCUUUACUAACACUCACUGUGUAGUGAGGCUCUGCAGAGCUGUUAUAUUCUCUUUUAUUAUCUUCUACACACACACACACACACACAAUGCAUAUCGUAUAAACGGCUGUCUGAGGAAGUGUGAUUGAGUUCAAUGGCCUAUCCUCUUUUAAUGUGACGAACUGUGCUGUCGAUGUUUAAGUCCCACACUCACAUGAAUAUGCCACACAAACAGACAAACAAACAAAUGCAUGCUGCAGGCAGGAAAAAUAUGUUACUGUCCAAUUUUGGUGAAGAAAAGCUCAUAAAAAGGAGAGUUAGUUGUGUCUGCCAUGUGACAUGUCAGGUCCUCCCUUAUGCUAAUGUAACAUUCAUCUGUGUCAUAGAACGAUAAUGACUCUCAACGCAGAGAGCCUCGCUGAAGCACUCAGAGUAAAGCCCAGCUGUCCACUCAGUCAGCUUCUCUGUCUGUACGCUCCACUGUUUCUGUCUCUCUGUCUCUAUCUCUGUUUCUAUUUAU
Long non-coding RNA from Perca flavescens (yellow perch), 1837 nucleotides. RefSeq lists it as uncharacterized. NCBI's taxonomy places the organism in Eukaryota, Metazoa, Chordata, Actinopteri, Perciformes, Percidae. The record is from RefSeq and is a predicted model, not a curated record. The transcript has 3 exons.